UCCCUGGUGGCUCAGACGGUAAAGCGUCUGCCUGCAGUGCAGGAGACCCGGGUUCGAUCCCUGGGCUGGGAA
RNAcentral lists this transfer RNA (72 nucleotides) under Bos taurus (domestic cattle). It matches the Rfam family "tRNA". From Rfam's summary of the family: Transfer RNA (tRNA) molecules are approximately 80 nucleotides in length. The record is from Rfam by way of RNAcentral. Lineage: Eukaryota; Metazoa; Chordata; Mammalia; Artiodactyla; Bovidae. RNAcentral also lists the same sequence under 2 other names.